UACGUAGGGUGCAAGCGUUGUCCGGAAUUAUUGGGCGUAAAGAGCUCGUAGGCGGUUUGUCGCGUCUGCUGUGAAAACGCGAGGCUCAACCUCGCGCCUGCAGUGGGUACGGGCAGACUAGAGUGCGGUAGGGGAGAUUGGAAUUCCUGGUGUGGCGGUGGAAUGCGCGGAUAUCAGGAGGAACACCGAUGGCGAAGGCAGAUCUCUGGGCCGUAACUGACGCUGAGGAGCGAAAGCAUGGGGAGCGAACAGG
This 253-nucleotide ribosomal RNA is filed under the name uncultured bacterium. RNAcentral describes it as "partial 16S ribosomal RNA". It matches the Rfam family "Bacterial small subunit ribosomal RNA", at positions 524 to 776 of the family's 1533-position model. The record is from RNAcentral.